This 71-nucleotide transfer RNA is filed under the name Strophurus mcmillani (short-tailed striped gecko). RNAcentral describes it as "tRNA-Met". The record is from RNAcentral. Lineage: Eukaryota; Metazoa; Chordata; Lepidosauria; Squamata; Diplodactylidae.
AGUAAAGUCAGCUAAUUAAGCUUUCGGGCCCAUACCCCGAAAAUGUUGGUAUCACAACCCUUCCUAUACUA